This is a non-coding RNA of Picea glauca (white spruce), 458 nucleotides long. Lineage: Eukaryota; Viridiplantae; Streptophyta; Pinopsida; Pinales; Pinaceae. The record is from Rfam.
CCAGCAAAGAGAUAGACAGUAGUACUGACGGAGCAAUUCCGCGUGAAGGCAAAAGGCCCACGGGUCAUGAACUUCUUUUCUUGGAGAAGAAACAAUGACAGUAUCUGAGGAAUAAGCAUCGGCUAACUCUGUGCCAGCAGCCGCGGUAAGACAGAGGAUGCAAGCGUUAUCCGGAAUGAUUGGGCGUAAAGCGUCUGUGGGUGGAUUUUCAAGUCCGCUGUCAAAUCCCAGGGCUCAACCCUGGACAGGCGGUGGAAACUACCAAGCUAGAGUACGGUAGGGGCAGAGGGAAUUUCCGGUGGAGCGGUGAAAUGCGUUGAGAUCGGAAAGAACACCAACGACGAAAGCACUCUGCUGGGCUGACAGUCAAAAAAUGGACAGGGAUAAAAAGAAUCAUCCAUGCAGAUGUGCGGAAGUGCUUUGACAACAUUGAGCAUUCCACACUAAUCAUAUUAUUG